AGGGAAUUUUGCGCAAUGGACGGAAGUCUGACGCAGCAACGCCGCGUGAAGGAUGAAGGCCUUCGGGUUGUAAACUUCUGUUGGAUGGGAAAAAAAGCCUUUUAAGAGGAAUUGAUGGUACCAUUCGAGUAAGCACCGGCUAACUACGUGCCAGCAGCCGCGGUAAUACGUAGGGUGCGAGCGUUGUUCGGAAUCACUGGGCGUAAAGGGGGCGUAGGCGGAACUGUAAGUUAGAAGUUUAAUACAUGGGCUCAACCCGUGGUCUGAUUUUAAUACUGCGGUUCUUGAGUAUGGGAGAGGGCGAUGGAAUUCCAGGUGUAGCGGUGGAAUGCGUAGAUAUCUGGAAGAACACCAGUAGCGAAGGCGGUCGCCUGGCCCAAUACUGACGCUGAGGCUCGAAAGCUGGGGGAGCAAAC
Molecule: ribosomal RNA, 416 nt
Filed under: uncultured bacterium
Lineage: Bacteria
Description: bacterial SSU rRNA
Rfam family: Bacterial small subunit ribosomal RNA
Source: RNAcentral